UACGUAGGGCGCAAGCGUUAUCCGGAAUUAUUGGGCGUAAAGAGCUCGUAGGCGGCUUGUCGCGUCUGCCGUGAAAGUCCGGGGCUCAACUCCGGAUCUGCGGUGGGUACGGGCAGACUAGAGUGAUGUAGGGGAGACUGGAAUUCCUGGUGUAGCGGUGAAAUGCGCAGAUAUCAGGAGGAACACCGAUGGCGAAGGCAGGUCUCUGGGCAUUAACUGACGCUGAGGAGCGAAAGCAUGGGGAGCGAACAGG
RNAcentral lists this ribosomal RNA (253 nucleotides) under uncultured bacterium. Its description in RNAcentral is "partial 16S ribosomal RNA". It matches the Rfam family "Bacterial small subunit ribosomal RNA", at positions 524 to 776 of the family's 1533-position model. The record is from RNAcentral.